RNAcentral lists this ribosomal RNA (403 nucleotides) under Fusobacteriota bacterium. Its description in RNAcentral is "Fusobacteria bacterium partial 16S ribosomal RNA". It matches the Rfam family "Bacterial small subunit ribosomal RNA", at positions 355 to 776 of the family's 1533-position model. The record is from RNAcentral. Lineage: Bacteria; Fusobacteriati; Fusobacteriota.
UGGGGAAUCUUGCACAAUGGGGGAAACCCUGAUUCAGCGACGCCGCUUGAGCGAUGAAGGUUUUCGAAUCGUAAAGCUCUUUCCUAUGGGAAGAUAAUGACGGUACCAUGGGAGGAAGCCCCGGCUAACUACGUGCCAGCAGCCGCGGUAAUACGUAGGGGGCGAGCGUUUUCCGGAAUUACUUGGCGUAAAGGGUUCGCAGGCGGCAUGGCAAGUCCGAUGUAAAAGGCGAAGGCUCAACCUUCGUAAGCAUCGGAAACUGUCAAGCUUGAGUGAAGGAGAGGGAAGUGGAAUUCCUAGUGUAGCGGUGGAAUGCGUAGAUAUUAGGAGGAAAAACGGUGGGGAAGGCGACUUGAUGGAAGACAACUGACGCUGAGGAACGAAAGCGGGGGUAGCAAAAAGG